CGCGUGAGGAACCUGCCUCAAAGAGGGGGACAACAGUUGGAAACGACUGCUAAUACCGCAUAAGCCCACGGGUCGGCAUCGACCAGAGGGAAAAGGAGCAAUCCGCUUUGAGAUGGCCUCGCGUCCGAUUAGCUAGUUGGUGAGGUAAUGGCCCACCAAGGCAACGAUCGGUAGCCGGACUGAAAGGUUGAACGGCCACAUUGGGACUGAGACACGGCCCAGACUCCUACGGGAGGCAGCAGUGGGGAAUAUUGCACAAUGGGGGAAACCCUGAUGCAGCGACGCCGCGUGGAGGAAGAAGGUCUUCGGAUUGUAAACUCCUGUUGUUGAGGAAGAUAAUGACGGUACUCAACAAGGAAGUGACGGCUAACUACGUGCCAGCAGCCGCGGUAAAACGUAGGUCACAAGCGUUGUCCGGAAUUACUGGGUGUAAAGGGAGCGCAGGCGGGAAGACAAGUUGGAAGUGAAAUCUAUGGGCUCAACCCAUAAACUGCUUUCAAAACUGUUUUUCUUGAGUAGUGCAGAGGUAGGCGGAAUUCCCGGUGUAGCGGUGGAAUGCG
RNAcentral lists this ribosomal RNA (560 nucleotides) under uncultured bacterium. RNAcentral describes it as "bacterial SSU rRNA". It matches the Rfam family "Bacterial small subunit ribosomal RNA", at positions 114 to 690 of the family's 1533-position model. The record is from RNAcentral.